Small nuclear RNA from Candoia aspera, 163 nucleotides. RefSeq annotates it as U1 spliceosomal RNA. The transcript has a single exon. NCBI's taxonomy places the organism in Eukaryota, Metazoa, Chordata, Lepidosauria, Squamata, Candoiidae. The record is from RefSeq and is a predicted model, not a curated record.
AUAUUUACUUGGCAGGGAGGUACCUUCAUUAUGAAAGAGGUUUUCUUAUGUGGAGUUUUAUCUAUUGUAUUCCGGGUGUACUGAUUUUUGCGGUGUUCCCAAGUGGGGAGAACUUGCCUGUAUGAUUCGUGGAAGUGGGGGACACUGUUCACGCUUUCCUCUG